UAUCUCUGUAGAGUCUGCAUAUCAAUAAGCGGAGGAAAAGAAACUAACUAGGACUCCCUCGGUAACGGCGAGUGAAGCGGGAAGAGCUCAAAUUUGAAAUCUUCAAGGUUCUACCUUGACGAAUUGUAGUUUAAAGAAGUGUUUUCUGUUGGAGUUUUGGUAAAAGUUCUUUGGAAUAGGACAUCAUAGAGGGUGAGAAUCCCGUAUUUGACCAUUAUUUCCAGCUUUGUGAUACACUUUCAAAGAGUCGGAUUGUUUGAGAAUGCAGUCCAAAAUGGGUGGUAAAUUUCAUCUAAAGCUAAAUACUGGCGAGAGACCGAUAGCGAACAAGUACCGUGAGGGAAAGAUGAAAAGAACUUUGAAAAGAGAGUUAAACAGUACGUGAAAUUGUCAAAAGGGAAGCGUUUGACACCAGUGUUGUUUUCUCGAAAAUCAAUUAAAAAAGGCAGGGAUUUUGUGUUGUAUUGACUUUAUCAGCUUUCUGCACUCUUUUCUUGUCUUUUUUUAAUGCACUUUUCGUUUAACAAGUCAACAUCAAUUUCUUUUGUUGUAAAAGGGUCAUUGGAAGGUGGCUUUCUUUUCGGAGAAAGUGUUUAUAGCCUUUGGCCUCUGCAAUCGGAGAGAUUGAGGUCUGCAGCGUAGAUCCUUCGGGGUUAGAUACAUUUGUGCUAAGUUAUAGCCUUUCAUAGACAACUUGUUGACUAUGAUCAGUCAUGUAGCUUACUCGCUUAUGCUAUUCUACCUACGCUUAGGAUGUUGAUAGUCACAGCGUGUAC
Molecule: ribosomal RNA, 776 nt
Filed under: uncultured Neocallimastigales
Lineage: Eukaryota; Fungi; Neocallimastigomycota; Neocallimastigomycetes; Neocallimastigales
Description: partial large subunit ribosomal RNA
Rfam family: Eukaryotic large subunit ribosomal RNA
Source: RNAcentral